This is an RNA transcript of Mus musculus (house mouse), 7990 nucleotides long. It is a transcript of the gene named ankyrin repeat domain 28, with no coding region annotated. The record is from RefSeq and is marked validated. Lineage: Eukaryota; Metazoa; Chordata; Mammalia; Rodentia; Muridae. The transcript has 28 exons.
GUAAGUGUAACAUGUGAGCAUUACUAGGCAUUUCAUCCUGCGGGGCUGCAGUCUUGGCUCUUCAGGCUGUUGCUUAGUUGAAAUGCUUCUGCGGGACCGAUCCUGAGGUUGUGUAGCUAUUUCUCAAGGGCCUGCUCGUUUGCGGAUAUCAGCGGCAUUUUGCAAGAUCAUCUGAGGAACAGGAAAGCAUUUGAAAUCAACUGAAGGAUAACUGUAGCGGUUUUCACCGGGGAAGGAGCUAUAUUGGCACAGAGGCAGAUGACUGAAUAAAGUAGUUGGCUCUGAGAAGAUGCACAGUCCGCUGCUUUUCCUCUGAAUGAAGACUGUUUAAUGGAAGCUGUAUUCAUGUAGAGAUCAAAGGAAAUACUACAGUGAUAAACUACCUUCUUCCCUUCUCCUUUUAAAAUGAAAACCCUGAAGCAGUAAUUGGAGCUCAAAGGUCUUCAGGUUCUUUUGCUGUCUGCUUGUUCUAUUAAGAUUCUCCACUGACACCAUUUCUGCCUGGUGCCUGUGCCUUUCUUGCUGGGCUGCUAGAAACAACUGCCUGAUGGAGAAAGAAUGAAAGCUUUGCCUUGCCUGUUACUGAUGGGAUAAAGCUAGCUCUGUUUCGCCUAUUAUUGGGAAGUCUGGAUUAAUCAACUUGUAUUCUCGUACCAGUAGUCCUAUUGUCUCUUGCGAUCUGACUCAUCACAUGUUAAUGUGCUGCAGCUUUGCUGUUAAUGCAGAUGGUGGUUUGUUCUCCUUCUGUCUUCUUCUUCUCUUUCUUUCCUAAACACGGAAAGAGCUGACAACGUCUGAGCUUCGUUUUCAGAAUUUAGGCUAAAUUUUAUGUAUUUUUGUUUGUUUGUUCCCUGAAUAAUAUCUGUAUUAAGUCAGUGAAGCUGAAGAAAUGAAGACCAAUUAGAAGUGGAAACAGAAUAGUGAGAUUCUGGUUUUAAUUUUCAGCUACAGACCGCCCAGCCUUCUGGUAACUAUAUGACCUUGCCGACGAGAGUGGGGGUAUCUGCUGCUACCUCUGUGACAGCAGCUGCUUCUCAUUUCAUUUGUUAUGGUGUGAUGGUGUGUCACCCAAAACAAUGAUUGUUUUGUACAAGUAAAUUUCAGAGCUCAAUGUAACUAUUUUGGUGGAAGAAAAUAUUUUUUAAAAGAAUAGUCCUAGACGGAGUUUUAAUUAUUGACACGCUGAUGUGAACCUUUUUAUAGAUUGUAGUAACCUGCAGAAAGAAGUAGGUUUUUAUUUUUAGGAAGUUAUGUACCAUAAUUUUAAACUUAAGUUUCUCUAAUAUUACUAACUAUAAAACCAGCGGCACUGUUCAGAGAAUGUUUAUAAGUGGUGUACAGAAGAGGAGGAAAAACUGCUUGUGCUCGUCCCACUGUGACUUUUAUCACAUAGCUUGGAGUUUAAUGUUUUAAAAGAGCGAAUGAGUCGAGUGUGUAUUGUUGUUUUGGAGGAGGUAGAAGAUGAUUCUCCUGUAUUCAUUUCUAAGUUGCCCCAGGAAAGUACAUGUCUACAACCUCCACCUUCUGGAAAUGUGUUGCCAUCACUGGUGCAAGCUAUAUUUAAUGGUGAUCCAGAUGAAGUCCGAGCACUAAUAUUUAAGAAAGAAGAUGUUAACUUUCAGGACAAUGAGAAGAGAACCCCUUUGCAUGCUGCUGCCUAUCUUGGUGACGCAGAAAUCAUUGAGCUGCUUAUUUUAUCUGGAGCUAGAGUUAAUGCCAAAGACAGCAAAUGGUUGACACCUUUACACAGAGCAGUUGCAUCGUGUAGUGAGGAAGCAGUUCAGAUACUUUUGAAGCAUUCUGCAGAUGUUAAUGCUCGAGAUAAAAAUUGGCAGACCCCUUUACACAUAGCUGCUGCUAAUAAAGCUGUAAAGUGCGCUGAAUCUUUGGUACCUCUUCUGAGCAAUGUGAACGUGUCCGACCGAGCAGGAAGAACUGCAUUACAUCAUGCAGCUUUCAGUGGGCAUGGUGAGAUGGUCAAACUACUCUUGUCCAGAGGUGCCAAUAUAAAUGCUUUUGACAAGAAAGAUAGGCGUGCAAUCCAUUGGGCAGCAUAUAUGGGUCACAUUGAAGUAGUAAAAUUACUUGUAUCUCAUGGAGCUGAAGUGACAUGUAAGGAUAAGAAGUCUUACACACCUCUUCAUGCAGCAGCCUCUAGUGGAAUGAUCAGUGUAGUCAAAUAUCUUCUAGAUCUUGGAGUUGAUAUGAAUGAACCAAAUGCCUAUGGAAACACACCUCUUCAUGUGGCCUGUUACAAUGGACAAGAUGUUGUUGUGAAUGAGCUCAUAGACUGUGGUGCUAAUGUCAAUCAGAAGAAUGAGAAAGGGUUCACUCCUUUGCACUUUGCUGCUGCAUCAACACAUGGAGCACUGUGUUUAGAACUUCUGGUUGGCAAUGGAGCUGAUGUCAAUAUGAAGAGUAAAGAUGGGAAAACCCCACUACAUAUGACUGCCCUCCACGGUAGAUUCUCCAGAUCACAAACGAUUAUCCAGAGUGGAGCUGUAAUAGACUGUGAAGAUAAGAAUGGGAACACCCCUUUGCAUAUAGCAGCCCGGUAUGGCCAUGAGCUUCUAAUCAACACUCUUAUUACAAGUGGUGCUGACACUGCAAAGCGUGGUAUACAUGGAAUGUUCCCACUCCAUUUGGCAGCCUUAAGUGGUUUUUCAGAUUGCUGCAGGAAACUCCUUUCUUCAGGAUUUGACAUAGAUACCCCAGAUGAUUUUGGCAGAACCUGUCUACACGCAGCUGCAGCUGGAGGAAAUUUGGAGUGCCUAAACCUUCUGCUGAAUACUGGUGCAGACUUCAACAAAAAGGAUAAAUUUGGAAGAUCUCCACUGCACUAUGCUGCUGCCAACUGCAAUUACCAGUGCCUGUUUGCUCUUGUGGGAUCAGGAGCAAGUGUGAAUGACCUUGAUGAGAGAGGCUGCACACCCCUGCACUAUGCAGCUACAUCUGACACAGACGGCAAGUGCCUGGAAUACUUACUAAGAAAUGAUGCCAACCCAGGGAUCCGGGACAAACAAGGCUAUAAUGCAGUUCACUACUCAGCUGCGUAUGGUCACCGUCUGUGUCUUCAACUGAUUGCAAGUGAAACUCCUUUAGAUGUUUUAAUGGAAACCUCGGGAACAGACAUGUUGAGUGAUUCAGAUAAUAGAGCAACAAUAAGCCCUUUACAUUUGGCUGCUUAUCAUGGUCACCAUCAAGCCCUGGAAGUGUUGGUACAGUCUUUGUUAGAUCUUGAUGUAAGAAAUAGUAGUGGUAGAACACCCUUAGAUCUUGCAGCCUUUAAGGGCCAUGUUGAAUGUGUGGAUGUACUCAUUAAUCAGGGAGCUUCAAUCCUCGUAAAAGAUUACGUUUUGAAGAGAACACCUAUCCAUGCAGCAGCAACAAAUGGUCAUUCAGAAUGCUUACGGUUAUUAAUAGGAAAUGCAGAGCCACAGAAUGCAGUAGAUAUUCAAGAUGGAAAUGGACAGACACCUCUUAUGCUGUCGGUUCUCAAUGGGCACACGGACUGUGUAUACUCACUACUGAACAAAGGAGCAAAUGUAGAUGCCAAAGACAAGUGGGGAAGGACAGCGUUGCACAGAGGGGCAGUGACAGGCCAUGAAGAGUGUGUAGACGCAUUACUUCAACAUGGUGCUAAGUGCUUACUACGGGACAGCCGGGGUCGGACACCCAUACACUUGUCAGCAGCCUGUGGACACAUUGGAGUUCUUGGAGCCCUUUUGCAGUCAGCAACAUCUGUGGAUGCAAAUCCAGCCGUAGUAGACAAUCAUGGGUAUACAGCACUUCACUGGGCUUGCUACAAUGGUCAUGAGACAUGUGUGGAGCUACUUUUAGAACAGGAUGUUUUCCAGAAAAUAGAUGGAAAUGCUUUCAGCCCCCUGCAUUGUGCCGUGAUCAACGACAAUGAAGGUGCAGCUGAGAUGCUGAUUGAUUCCUUAGGAGCCAGCAUUGUGAAUGCCACAGACUCAAAGGGAAGAACUCCUCUCCAUGCCGCUGCCUUCACAGACCAUGUGGAGUGUUUACAACUGCUGCUCAGCCAGAAUGCUCAGGUCAAUUCCGCAGACUCUACCGGAAAAACACCUCUCAUGAUGGCUGCAGAAAACGGACAAACCAAUACAGUUGUGAGUUACUGGUAAUUUAAGAAACAUGUUCAUAAGCAUAAGAAUUGAUGCACUUUUUCCUCCCAGAGAUGCUGGUUAGCAGUGCUAGUGCAGAUCUGACAUUACAAGAUAAGAGUAAAAACACCGCCCUUCAUUUGGCUUGUGGCAAGGGUCAUGAAACUAGUGCCUUGUUAAUUCUGGAAAAGAUAACAGAUAGAAACCUCAUCAAUGCAACCAACGCAGCCUUGCAAACACCUCUGCAUGUUGCUGCCCGAAAUGGGCUCACGAUGGUUGUUCAAGAGCUCCUGGGGAAAGGAGCCAGUGUGCUUGCUGUUGAUGAGAAUGGCUACACCCCAGCUUUGGCCUGUGCUCCCAAUAAGGAUGUGGCUGACUGCCUGGCUCUCAUUUUGGCCACCAUGAUGCCUGUCUCGUCAAGUAGCCCAUUGACAUCCCUGACAUUCAAUGCCAUUAACCGUUAUACCAACACCUCAAAAACAGUUAGCUUUGAAGCCUUGCCUAUCAUGAGGAAUGAAGCCAGCUCCUACUGCAGUUUUAACAACAUUGGUGGCGAGCAGGAGUACUUGUACACCGACGUGGAUGAGCUCAACGACUCUGACUCCGAGACCUACUGAAAGGCCGAGUGAGCUGCAGCUCUAAGGAAGUUCUGACACUGAAACUUCAAAUCGGGCUUUUUCGGGAAAAAGGCACUUUCUUAUCAUACACAGAUUCAACCUGAAGAAAGAUCAUGCAGUGAACGAAUGGAAGAAACAUGAUGACAUUAGGAAGAAGAGUCUUAAAGGCAAGUUUUGCAAAAGGAACUUCUAGAAUCUUAAUAAUGACUUGACCAGUGGAAAACACAGUGAUGUCGAUUGCUUUGUGGGAUCGUUUAAUUGGCUUUGCAGUGCCAGAAAUUGGGACACUGCUCCCUGACCUGCUUACAUGGGCAACACUGCUGUAAAGAAAGAGAUCAAAACACUAGAUUAAAUUUUACCCAUAAAAUUACAGCUAAAUUUUAAUGCAAUAAAAGUUUGGUAUAAUAGGCAUUAUGUACACAUCAAAUUGCCAAGGACCAAAUAACAUACAGAUUUUUUUAUUAGAACUCCAUUUUGUGGAAACGGAAAUAGAUGAAAUGAGAAGUCGUCUAAAGCAAACUUCAGUGCUUCUGAAAGUGAGGCCAGAUUCGGUUUGGUGUUGGUUUUUAUAAGAAAGCAUCUACUGUAUUAAGCCAUGAGAGGAAGCAGAUGUAUUUUUACAUUUUUUAAUAUAAAAGUUUUUAAAUUCCACUUUUUAUAGACUUCAGAACCAGUUAACUGGGUGCAGCGUGGUUGAAAGUACUAGAGACAGACGCAGAUGAAGUCAGGGCUGUUGCCCACGAUUGAGUGGUUUGCUUUUAAAUUGAAUUGUUUUUGUUUAAGGAAUUCCAUAGAGGAAAUUUUUAAUGAAUUUAAAAAACAGACUAUUUCACCUCUUGUAAUGCAGCGGUCCUGGAGAAGGGACAUCUGAGCCUCUCUGUGCGCGGCACACCUGCAUCACGUUAGUUACUUUGGGACCUCUACCUUUUUUGGCUGGAGGAAUUCUAUUGUCAUUUAUUUUAAUCUUUGAACUUUAAAAACAAGAAUCAAAAUUUUAAAAAGUUUGAAGACUCUUGUUAUGAAACAUUGUCGAAAGCUGGUUGUGAAUUCUAUACAAACUGGGAUUGUAAAUGUUUUAUGUAAAAGAAAAUACUUAAAAAUGUACCUGCUUCCUCUCCUGCGUCCUCACAGCACUGGAAGGUUCUUGAAUGCAUCCUUUCCUUUGUUGUUGUUGUUGUUGUUGUAGUCGUUUGUUGUUUUAAGACAGGGCUCUCUAUGUGUAGCCCUGGCUGUACUAGAGUUUGCUUUGUAGACCAGGCUGGCCUCGAUCUCACAGAGAUUCACCUGUCUCAGCUUCCUAAGUGCUGGGAUUAAAGGUGUGCACCACCACUGCCUGGCUUCAGAUGUUUUCUUUAUAAAAAUCAACAUCAAACCAUUUGGCUUCCUUCUCAGAAGCAUUGGAGUUUGCUUUAGAUGAUGACUCAUAACAUAAACAGAAUCAGGUCAUUUGGAAGGCAUUUCUGUACUGGGCAAGAUUUAAAAUACUUCAGGCUUUAGGUCCUCCUGAGAUCUAGAGUAGCGGGUGUGCAGCUUCUUACUGUCAGAGCUUGCCUGCCAAAUUGAAGACUGCCUUUCAGGUAACAGAGAAGAGGCUGACAGUAGGCUAAUUUUAAAUUACACUUUUCUGUGGUUCUUUUAUUGUAACUGUCACUUUCCCAGUAACAAUGAUUUUACAUUGGGGGGAGGGGUCUUACUAGAGCUGGGUAAAGUUCCAUACAUUGCAACAAAAUGAUACCCAAUUCCAUCUUACCCUUUUUGUAUUGUGAAACUGGAACUUUAUGACAUUGUAAAUUAUCAGCUGGUUUUUCUGAAUAUAAAGUGUGAAAACACAGAACAGUAUUUUGAUCUAUUUGAUAAUUUUGUGGGUUUUUUGAAGAAUUAAUGAGCAUGUACAUAGAAAUAGUGACUGCUUGAAUCCUGUAUUUACUUGCACUCUUUCAGUACAUCAAGAUUCCUGUAUAUUUUAGAGUAUAAUAAAACACAGACGUGAGCUGUAUUUAAUGAAUAAUGUAUUUGUAUCUGUGCAUAUUACUUAAAAAUCUAUAAAGUUUCUAGGGCAUUGACUACUAGAUUUUAAGCAUUUUUCUAAAAUAUUUGCAAAAUUAUAAAUAUAAUCUCCAUCUUUUCUUUAUAAUAUAAAGGAGUCGUAAUGAACCCUUCGUAAUUAAUAGUGGGAGAAGGGUAAAUAUGCAUUUUAAAAGACCGUAGACUACAUUUCUAUUGUACCUUUUAAAAAAGAAAACUCAAGAGGAUUCUAAAAGUAUACCAUAUGUGUGCUUUCUCUUUCCUUUUAGGAAUUCUCUUCUGAAUUCCCUGAGGGAAUUUUCUAGAAUCUCAGAAUUGAAAGAGACCUGAGGUCCAUCCAGUCUAACCUCUUAAAUGCAGGAGUCCCUUCUCCAAGGUUGUCUUUCCACCUUGAACACUUCCAGUGACUACCUCACGAGCAGUCCAUUCAUUGUUGAGCAGCUCUGUUAGGAAGGUCUCCUUAAUGGAGCUGAAGCCUCCCUCCUGGUAACUUCUGUCCUUGGGCCCAGCUCUGUCCUCCAAGGGAAUGCUGGAAGGAUGACUUUCCACCCUCUGCCAUGUCUUCUCUUUCACAGGCUGAAGUGAUUUCCAGAUGGACUCAUUAGACACAUUGUCUGCACAUCUAUUGAAGUCAAAUGUGUAGCUAUAAAGUAACAAACUCAUCUUUUAAUUUAUCCUCAUAUGUAUGUAGAGACCAAGAUCCUGCAUCACUUUAAGUAAAACACUCGGGAGGUGGUUUGUGCUGUUACCAGCCGACUAGAAAAGCUGUUCCUUUGUGGUAGUUUGUCUCUAGCUUGAGCAACCCACUUCCUUUGGUGUGCACUGGAAGAGGGAAAUUUUGAAGUACUAUCCCAGAAAGUGUUGACUAACACCAGUAUUUGGAAUAAAUACAGGAGCACAGCAUAGCGCCAUACGUUACUUUAUAGUUACAUACACCUAUAGUGUGCACAAAGCAUUGGUCCUGGUGGGUCGGUUGUGUAUUUAUCCUCGCCCACAAGGGGAAAGUCUGUCGGCCUUUAAUUUCUGUGAGAAAGGUGACAUCUAAGAUAUGUGUUACAGAAAUACCAGCUUUUGCUCAGAAACAACUUUGGGGGAGAUAACGAUGACAGGUGACCUCAAACAGUGCCAUUUAGUUCAGAGAUCUCUAAAUGUAGCUGUAAAUUUGGGGUUAAUUUGGCUUCAAAUAUUGGAUCUUUUAAAUGAAAUAAAAAUUUUUAAUGUAAAAAA